RNAcentral lists this ribosomal RNA (459 nucleotides) under Pontastacus leptodactylus (narrow-clawed crayfish). RNAcentral describes it as "Astacus leptodactylus (narrow-clawed crayfish) partial small subunit ribosomal RNA". The record is from RNAcentral. Lineage: Eukaryota; Metazoa; Arthropoda; Malacostraca; Decapoda; Astacidae.
AAUUUUUUAUAAAGUUUUAUCUUAAUAAAAAGUGAAAUUAGAUUAUUAAAUGUAAAAUUUUAUUAAAUUUUAAUAUAAUGAAGCUUAAAAAAUUGAGGUAUGAAUUAGGAUUAGAUACCCUAGUACACUUUAAAUUAAUUGUAAAGGACUAGAAUACUAAAAGUUAUAUUCUUUAAAUUUAAAAAAUUUGGCGGUAUUUUAGUCUAGUUAGAGGAACCUGUUUUUUAAACGACAAUACACGCAUUAUCUUACUUAUUCUAGUAAUCAGUUUGUAUACCGUCAUUAUAAGAUAAUUUAAGAGAGAAUAUUAUUAAGAUCAAUAUUAUGUGAGUAUAUUAGAUCAAGGUGCAGCUAAUGAAUAAGAAAAAAUGGGUUACAAUAAAAAUUAUUUAUACGGAUUUAAUAUUUAAAUAUAUUAAUGAAGGCGGAUUUAAUUGUAAAAUAAAAUUAAUAGGUUUU